Molecule: ribosomal RNA, 484 nt
Filed under: uncultured bacterium
Lineage: Bacteria
Description: partial 16S ribosomal RNA
Rfam family: Bacterial small subunit ribosomal RNA
Source: RNAcentral
AUUGAACGCUGGCGGCAGGCCUACCACAUGCAAGUCGAGCGGAUGAAGGGAGCUUGCUCCUGGAUUCAGCGGCGGACGGGUGAGUAAUGCCUAGGAAUCUGCCUGGUAGUGGGGGAUAACGUCCGGAAACGGGCGCUAAUACCGCAUACGUCCUGAGGGAGAAAGUGGGGGAUCUUCGGACCUCACGCUAUCAGAUGAGCCUAGGUCGGAUUAGCUAGUUGGUGGGGUAAAGGCCUACCAAGGCGACGAUCCGUAACUGGUCUGAGAGGAUGAUCAGUCACACUGGAACUGAGACACGGUCCAGACUCCUACGGGAGGCAGCAGUGGGGAAUAUUGGACAAUGGGCGAAAGCCUGAUCCAGCCAUGCCGCGUGUGUGAAGAAGGUCUUCGGAUUGUAAAGCACUUUAAGUUGGGAGGAAGGGCAGUAAGUUAAUACCUUGCUGUUUUGACGUUACCAACAGAAUAAGCACCGGCUAACUUCGUG